UUCUAUAAGUAAGCCUGUGAGCGUCUUGGUUAUUUUCAGUACGUAAGUCAUGUGUCAAGAACAUUAGUUCAUGUCUAUAGAAGUGGUAGAAGUGUAGAAUUUUUGAGCUGUCCUUUGCAAAGAAAACGACCAGUAGGGAAGCACGUAGUUGAGAAGUGAGUGGAGAAUGUUUUGUUUACAAUAUGCAUCCCUAAGGAUGACAUAUUCUCAAGAAGGUGAUUUUUUGAAAGGAUGUCACUAUUCAAGGAUUUUAACUUAAGAUUAAUGGACAGACUUUUUUUAUAUUUGAAAAAAUCACAAAGUACCUCAGCAAGCUGACAACCAAAACAGUGUUCUUGUUGUUUUGGCUAUAUCGUCCCACCUACAACUCUCGCUCCUACGCCCGCUCAGCGUUGCAGCUUUCCGUUACAAGGCUAUCGUUCUUAGAACAUCGUCUUCUUAUCACGCUCUCUCGCUGUCUCCUCUCUGCACCUUUCUUCGUUGGACAGGUCAACUUCCGUACAUACCGAAGUGACCGAUGCCGCUCCUAGCACCUCCUCUUCCGCACCGCGACCACUUACCGAAGUUUCACCUUGCCUGGAACAGCUGGCAGCACCAACGCUUCUGCAAAUGUUCCGAAUCCCGAUGAGUUGCCGUUAAUGUCUGCCGUCAAAAAUCAUCUGUGCUUAAAUUUCAUCAUAUAACAUUUUUGCUCCAGACUGUUUCCUGUCAGAUGCUUUGAAUCCUUCAUUAUCGCCUACUGACACUAUUUUACAUGCAUCUCUGCCUAAAAACUCGAACCAAACUCCCAAUAUUACCGGUACAAAAACUAGCUUGCUUUUGUACCACUAAUUAUCAAAACGUACGCAGUCUUUCGGGUAAACUCAAACAAAUUCACACUAAUAGCGCGUUAUUUGACUUUUAUGCCUUUGACCGAAGCCUGGCUUAACUCUUCAGUUUCUGAACACGAAGUCUUUGUUCAUAAGAGCUCUACUUAUAGAACGGAUCGGUUGCGGUAUUCAAAUAUGCGGAUGCUCGAUCGGGGCUCUGCUGUAUGCAGAUGACAUUGUGAUCCUCGCCGAAUCCCCCGUUGAACUGCAAACAAUGAUUAAUGCUCUGCACAAAUACUGUUUGUUAUGGGGAUUGUUAGUAAACACCGAGAAGUCGAAAGUUCUGAUUUUCAAGAGGCAUUGGAGAAAGCUAGCACAAAACGAAAAGUGGAAUUUGGGGUCUAUUCAGCUAGAAAUUGUCAAGUCGUAUAAGUAUCUGGGAGUCUGGAUUUACCACAACGGUCGUUUCAACAACCAUUUACAGGAGAAGCAAAACUAGCCAUAAACUGCACAUGGAAAUCGCUGCUAGGAAAAAAGGACGUUCCAAUGAGUAGCAAGUACAAGCUGUUUAGUGCAGCAAUGCGGUCAAUCCUUUGUUACGGCGCGCAGGUCUAGGGCACCUCACCUUAUGAAGAAGUUGAAAGCCUCCUAAGAUUGUUCUUAAAGAAAUUAUUUCGUCUACCCAGAUGUACUCCGAACUGGAUGCUAUAUCUUGAAACAGGACUGUCGCCGCUGCAUAUCCUUACAGCUGAAAUGCAUUUCAGGUAUAUCCAGAAAGUGGUAACCAUGCCCGAACAUAGGCUGUAACGAAUUCUAGCGAACUUUUUGAUGCAGGAGCGUAAGCAAUGGGUCAUAGAAUGGAAGACGCUUGUCGAGACCUACGGAUAUAGGCUACAGUUAGGCGAUCCUUCACAAUGGUCGCAUUGGGCGAUAAGUAUUCUAGCACAUAUGGACGAAAUCUAUAGGACUCAGCUCAAAAUGGAAUCAAGGAGAAGCACAACUCGGAUGAGUCAUAGGUCCCUUAAUUAUGAUUUGGGACUUGAUAACUAUUUUACUGACGCUUUCACCGUUGAGAGGAUUCGUAACAUUUUCGUGGCCAGGGGAGAAAUCCUCCCACUAAGCUAUAUCCCAACCGUGACAGCCAGCGACCGAUCUGUCCGAUCUGCAAUAUGAGGGAGCAGGAAAACGUCGUGCACUUUAUAGGACGCUGCCCCAUUCUACGGGAGUUCCGCCUGCUGCAUUUUGGUAAGGCACAGUUGCAACCGAAGGAUGUAUUCAAUUCGCUGAAUGGGAAAUGUUGAUCAACUGUCUACAGCUACAUCAACCAGGUUCUAAAGUACCGAAACAACAUUUUAACGAAAAUCUUUUAAACACUUCAUAUUAUAAAUCAAACACGUAACUCAGCUCACCUAGUUGUUAAACUGAUUGUUAGAACGAUCUGAUAUCUGGGGAAGACCCGGGAGGUCAGGUGUAGUACACUGUGCAGUUUUGACACUGGGAAAGCGGAGAUCGACAGACGGUUAAAAUAACCAGGUCGAUAUAUUUAAUUUCCUUUUUUAAUUCUUGCUUAUAUAAGAAUUUGUGAAUCUUUUUAAUUGUACACUUGAAA
This is a non-coding RNA of Drosophila suzukii, 2418 nucleotides long. Lineage: Eukaryota; Metazoa; Arthropoda; Insecta; Diptera; Drosophilidae. The record is from RefSeq and is a predicted model, not a curated record.